UACGGAGGGUGCAAGCGUUGUUCGGAAUUACUGGGCGUAAAGCGUGUCAAGGUGGGUGCGUAAGUCAGACGUGAAAGCCCCCGGCUCAACCGGGGAGGGCCGUUUGAAACUGCGCAUCUUGAGUCCCGGAGAGGUGAGUGGAAUUCCCAGUGGAGAGGUGAAAUUCGUAGAGAUUGGGAGGAACACCAGAGGCGAAAGCGAUUCACUGGCCGGGCACUGACACUCACACACGAGAGCGUGGGUAGCAAACAGG
This 253-nucleotide ribosomal RNA is filed under the name uncultured bacterium. RNAcentral describes it as "partial 16S ribosomal RNA". It matches the Rfam family "Bacterial small subunit ribosomal RNA", at positions 524 to 776 of the family's 1533-position model. The record is from RNAcentral.